CCAAUAGCGUAUAUUAAAGUUGUUGCAGUUAAAAAGCUCGUAGUUGAAUUUCGGGGUCAGCAGGUUGGUCGUGCCACUGGUAUGCACUGGCCUCGCUGAUUCCUCCCUCUUGUAGAACUGUAAUGCCAUUAAGUUGGUGUUGCGGGGAAACAGGACUGUUACUUUGAAAAAAUUAGAGUGUUUAAAGCAGGCUAACACUUGAAUACAUUAGCAUGGAAUAAUGAAAUAGGACGAUCGAUCCUAUUUUGUUGGUUUCUAGGGUUGACGUAAUGAUUAAUAGGGAUAGUUGGGGGCAUUAGUAUUCAAUUGUCAGAGGUGAAAUUCUUGGAUUUAUUGAAGACUAACUACUGCGAAAGCAUUUGCCAAGGAUGCUUUCAUUAAUCAAGAACGAAAGUUAGGGGAUCGAAGACGAUCAGAUACCGUCGUAGUCUUAACCAUAAACUAUGCCGACUAGGGAUCGGAUGAUGUUAAUUUUUUAAUGACUCAUUCGGCGCCUUACG
Molecule: ribosomal RNA, 500 nt
Filed under: uncultured Glomeromycotina
Lineage: Eukaryota; Fungi; Glomeromycota
Description: partial small subunit ribosomal RNA
Rfam family: Eukaryotic small subunit ribosomal RNA
Source: RNAcentral